This 273-nucleotide long non-coding RNA is filed under the name Elaeis guineensis (African oil palm). RNAcentral's name for it is "long non-coding RNA (EGUI_LNC056766)". The record is from RNAcentral. Lineage: Eukaryota; Viridiplantae; Streptophyta; Magnoliopsida; Arecales; Arecaceae.
CGGGUGCUGAAACAAAAAUUCUAAUGCGAUAACUAAAUUUCUAGUGGAUACUGUGGUCCCACCGCUGCUGUGCACCUCACCUAACAAUUAUUAGUAACAUGAAUGAACAUCGAUGCAUGGACAAUUCUUUGCCUAGAUGCUUCUCUAAGCAUGUUGCAGCCACUUGGUCUCUAAAUCAUGUAGGCUCACCUAAUAGUUAUUGCCCACACUUCUUAGUUAAGUCAGACCCAUCAUUUACAAGCAAGUGCAAAGCAAUCAUUGGAUCUCUCACCU